GACGAACGCUGGCGGCGUGCUUAACACAUGCAAGUCGAACGGAAAGGCCUCUUUCGGGGGGUACUCGAGUGGCGAACGGGUGAGUAACACGUGAGUAACCUGCCCUUGACUUUGGGAGAACUUCAGGAAACUGGGGCGAAUACCGGAAAGGAGCUCCUGCUGCAUGGUGGGGGUUGGAAAGUUUCGGCGGUUGGGGAUGGACUCGCGGCUUAUCAGCUUGUUGGUGGGGUAGUGGCUUACCAAGGCUUUGACGGGUAGCCGGCCUGAGAGGGUGACCGGCCACAUUGGGACUGAGAAACGGCCCAGACUCCUACGGGGGGCAGCAAUGGGGAAUAUUGCACAAUGGGUGGGAGCCUGAUGCAGCAACGCCGUGUGCGGGGUGACCGCCUUCGGGUUGUAAACCGCUUUCGCUCAUGACGAAGCUUUGUGUGACGGUAAUGGGUAAAGAAGCACCGGCUAACUACGUG
This 467-nucleotide ribosomal RNA is filed under the name uncultured bacterium. Its description in RNAcentral is "partial 16S ribosomal RNA". It matches the Rfam family "Bacterial small subunit ribosomal RNA", at positions 28 to 507 of the family's 1533-position model. The record is from RNAcentral.